Molecule: non-coding RNA, 21 nt
Filed under: Arabidopsis thaliana (thale cress)
Lineage: Eukaryota; Viridiplantae; Streptophyta; Magnoliopsida; Brassicales; Brassicaceae
Source: RNAcentral
UUAAACUCUGGAAUUUGUGUC